RNAcentral lists this ribosomal RNA (346 nucleotides) under uncultured bacterium. RNAcentral's name for it is "bacterial SSU rRNA". It matches the Rfam family "Bacterial small subunit ribosomal RNA", at positions 8 to 353 of the family's 1533-position model. The record is from RNAcentral.
AGAGUUUGAUCAUGGCUCAGGACGAACGCUGGCGGCGUGCUUAACACAUGCAAGUCGAACGCUGAAGCCUAGCUUGCUGGUGGAUGAGUGGCGAACGGGUGAGUAACACGUGAGUAACCUGCCCUCUUCUUUGGGAUAACGCCCGGAAACGGGUGCUAAUACUGGAUAUUCACUGAUCUUCGCAUGGGGGUUGGUGGAAAGGUUUUUCUGGUGGGGGAUGGGCUCGCGGCCUAUCAGCUUGUUGGUGGGGUGAUGGCCUACCAAGGCUUUGACGGGUAGCCGGCCUGAGAGGGUGACCGGUCACAUUGGGACUGAGAUACGGCCCAGACUCCUACGGGAGGCAGCA